CCUACGGGAGACAGCAGUGAGGAAUAUUGGUCAAUGGACGAGAGUCUGAACCAGCCAAGUAGCGUGAAGGAUGACUGCCCUAUGGGUUGUAAACUUCUUUUAUAAGGGAAUAAAAUGUGGCACGUGUGGGAUUUUGUAUGUACCAUAUGAAGAAGGAUCGGCUAACUCCGUGCCAGCAGCCGCGGUAAUACGGAGGAUCCGAGCGUUAUCCGGAUUUAUUGGGUUGAAAGGGAGCGUAGGUGGCUUGUUAAGUCAGUUGUGAAAGUUUGCGGCUCAACCGUAAAAUUGCAGUUGAUACUGGCAGUCUUGCGUCCAGUAGAGGUCGGCUGCAUUCGUGGUGUAGCGG
This 346-nucleotide ribosomal RNA is filed under the name uncultured bacterium. Its description in RNAcentral is "partial 16S ribosomal RNA". It matches the Rfam family "Bacterial small subunit ribosomal RNA", at positions 338 to 681 of the family's 1533-position model. The record is from RNAcentral.